Molecule: microRNA, 21 nt
Filed under: Monodelphis domestica (gray short-tailed opossum)
Lineage: Eukaryota; Metazoa; Chordata; Mammalia; Didelphimorphia; Didelphidae
Description: mdo-miR-7247-5p
Source: miRBase by way of RNAcentral
GGGAGAACGUGUGUGGGGGAA